Molecule: non-coding RNA, 423 nt
Organism: Gasterosteus aculeatus aculeatus (three-spined stickleback)
Lineage: Eukaryota; Metazoa; Chordata; Actinopteri; Perciformes; Gasterosteidae
Source: RefSeq, a predicted model, not a curated record
AUUAACAACAAAAACAACAACAAACGAAGCGCACCGAAGCACCGUGGCGGCCAUCAACGGCGCCAACGUGCAUGAAAACAACGUUCUGCCUGAGUGGAAUACGGACUGCAGCCCAUCGCACCAGUUUAACAUGAAGAUGAGAAGGACGAGGUGAAGCUGAGCUCUGGCCUGAAGAGGUAUUACGUCAAUGUUUGUUAGCAGAGAGAAUGACAUUCUUCUUUAUAUUGUGGCAACCCACGAAUCAGCACCCUGGACAGCGCCUCAAGAGAUCAGCACCAAGGUCUGGGGCACCGACGAGCCAGAGGUCAGGAAGGGGACUGAAGGCCGAACAGCCUGUUGAACCGAGCCCUCAAAAGAGGAAGAACCUAUUUUGCCCUUUUCCCUUUUUUGUAUGUCAAAAUAAACCGUACCCUUUUUUUGUGU